UGGUGGUACUCCUUAUGAAAAAGGUAUUGAAGUGGACCCUUCAAUAUCCAGAAGAGCACACGGCAGUGUUUUCUACCAGAUUAUGACAAUGAGAAGGCAGCCUCAACUUCUAGUGAAACUGAGAUCCUUGAACAGAAGAUCAAGAAAUGUACUAAGUCUACUGCCAGAAACAUUAAUUGGAAAUAUGUGUUCUAUUCACUUGUUGAUAUUUUAUCGACAAAUUCUUGGAGAUGUGCUCCUGAAAGACAGGAUGAGCUUGCAAAGUACUGAUUUAAUUAGCCAUCCCAUGCUGGCCACCUUCCCCAUGCUCUUGGAGCAGCCUGAUGUGAUGGAUGCUCUCAGGGUGGGUAGCAUGCAUUGCAAUGGAAACCUGCUGGCUUAUGGAAGCAGUUAUACACUCUGUGUUAAUGAGUUCUGUCUAGGCCUUUUUUUUUGUUACUAGGAUGAUGUCUCCCAAUCCCUAUCCAUUGUCUAGGUAACUCAGUCCUCAUCUUUCCCAUCUUAGCAUAAAUUCCCAAGGGCUGCCUUCCCUGACCCAGGGAGCAGGUGGAGUGCCUGCUAUGUACACUAUUGCAAU
Molecule: long non-coding RNA, 577 nt
Filed under: Homo sapiens (human)
Lineage: Eukaryota; Metazoa; Chordata; Mammalia; Primates; Hominidae
Description: non-protein coding lnc-MALL-2:1
Source: RNAcentral